CGGGGCGUAGCGCAGUUGGCUAGCGCGCGUCGUUCGGGACGACGAGGUCGGCGGUUCAAGUCCGCCCGCCCCGA
This 74-nucleotide transfer RNA is filed under the name Candidatus Gottesmanbacteria bacterium RIFCSPHIGHO2_01_FULL_40_15. RNAcentral describes it as "tRNA-Pro". It matches the Rfam family "tRNA". Rfam says of the family: Transfer RNA (tRNA) molecules are approximately 80 nucleotides in length. Their secondary structure includes four short double-helical elements and three loops (D, anti-codon, and T loops). The record is from RNAcentral. RNAcentral also lists the same sequence under 4 other names. Lineage: Bacteria; Candidatus Gottesmaniibacteriota.